RNAcentral lists this RNase P RNA (226 nucleotides) under Cyanobium sp. NAT70. Its description in RNAcentral is "partial RNase P RNA component class A". It matches the Rfam family "Bacterial RNase P class A", at positions 143 to 367 of the family's 367-position model. From Rfam's summary of the family: Ribonuclease P (RNase P) is a ubiquitous endoribonuclease, found in archaea, bacteria and eukarya as well as chloroplasts and mitochondria. Its best characterised activity is the generation of mature 5'-ends of tRNAs by cleaving the 5'-leader elements of precursor-tRNAs. The record is from RNAcentral. Lineage: Bacteria; Bacillati; Cyanobacteriota; Cyanophyceae; Synechococcales; Prochlorococcaceae.
CACAGGCAAGGGUGCAAAGGUGCGGUAAGAGCGCACCAGCAGCAUCGAGAGGUGCUGGCUCGGUAAACCCCGGCUGGGAGCAAGGCCAAGGAACGACGGUUGGCCAUCAGCCCCGUUCCGCCUAAACGCGCCGCUCGAGGCCGUCGGUAACGACGGUCCCAGAUAGAUAACCACCCACCCUCUCUGGAGGCGUGAACAGAACCCGGCUUAUGUCCUGCUUUCACUU